RNAcentral lists this ribosomal RNA (253 nucleotides) under uncultured bacterium. RNAcentral describes it as "partial 16S ribosomal RNA". It matches the Rfam family "Bacterial small subunit ribosomal RNA", at positions 524 to 776 of the family's 1533-position model. The record is from RNAcentral.
UACAGAGGUCCCAAGCGUUGUUCGGAUUCACUGGGCGUAAAGGGUGCGUAGGUGGCUUGGUAAGUUCGAUGUGAAAUCUCCGGGCCUAACCCGGAAAUGGCAUUGAAUACUAUUGAGCUGGAGGUUUGGAGGGGGGACUGGAAUUCUCGGUGUAGCAGUGAAAUGCGUAGAUAUCGAGAGGAACACCAGUGGCGAAGGCGAGUCCCUGGACAACACCUGACACUGAGGCACGAAAGCUAGGGGAGCAAACAGG